RNAcentral lists this ribosomal RNA (1079 nucleotides) under uncultured archaeon. Its description in RNAcentral is "bacterial SSU rRNA". It matches the Rfam family "Archaeal small subunit ribosomal RNA", at positions 327 to 1409 of the family's 1478-position model. The record is from RNAcentral.
GGGGCGCAGCAGGCGCGAACCUUUACACUGCACGGAAGUGGCGAUAGGGGAACUCCCAGUGCGAGGGCAUAUCGUCCUCGCUUUUUCUGGACCGUAAGGUGGUCCAGGAAGAAGGGCUGGGCAAGACCGGUGCCAGCCGCCGCGAUAAUACCGGCAGCCCGAGUGAUGGCCGCUAUUAUUGGGCUAAAGCGUCCGUAGCUGGCCGGGCAAGUCCGUCGGGAAAUCCACUCGCUUAACGGGUGGGCGUCCGGCGGAAACUGCUCGGCUUGGGACCGGAAGACCCGAGGGGUACGUCCGGGGUAGGAGUGAAAUCCCGUAAUCCCGGACGGACCGCCGGUGGCGAAAGCGCCUCGGGAAGACGGAUCCGACAGUGAGGGACGAAAGCUAGGGUCUCGAACCGGAUUAGAUACCCGGGUAGUCCUAGCCGUAAACGAUGCCCGCUAGGUGUGGCGCAGGCUACGAGCCUGCGCUGUGCCGUAGGGAAGCCGCGAAGCGGGCCGCCUGGGAAGUACGUCCGCAAGGAUGAAACUUAAAGGGAUUGGCGGGGGAGCACUACAACCGGAGGAGCCUGCGGUUUAAUUGGACUCAACGCCGGAAACAUUACCAGCCCCGACAGCAGUGAUGACGGUCAGGUUGAUGACCUUACUCGACGCUGCUGAGAGGAGGUGCAUGGCCGCCGUCAGCUCGUACCGUGAGGCGUCCUGUUAAGUCAGGCAACGAGCGAGACCCGCACCCCUAAUUGCCAGCAGCACCCACGUGGUGGCUGGGUACAUUAGGGGGACUGCCGCUGCUAAAGCGGAGGAAGGAACGGGCAACGGUAGGUCAGUAUGCCCCGAAUGGGCUGGGCUACACGCGGGCUACAAUGGCCGGGACAGUGGGAUGCCACCCCGAGAGGGGGAGCUAAUCUCGAAACCCGGUCGUAGUUCGGAUUGAGGGCUGAAACCCGCCCUCAUGAAGCUGGAUUCGGUAGUAAUCGCGUGUCACCAGCGCGCGGUGAAUACGUCCCUGCUCCUUGCACACACCGCCCGUCAAAGCACCCGAGUGGGGUCCGGAUGAGGCCGCCGCACGGCGGUCGAAUC